GCCCGUAUGGCGCAGUGGUUAACGCACUCCACUUGUACUAAUAAGUGCAUGGAGAGAUCCCUCGUUCGACUCGGGGUGCGGGCA
RNAcentral lists this transfer RNA (84 nucleotides) under Malassezia globosa CBS 7966. It matches the Rfam family "tRNA". From Rfam's summary of the family: Transfer RNA (tRNA) molecules are approximately 80 nucleotides in length. Their secondary structure includes four short double-helical elements and three loops (D, anti-codon, and T loops). The record is from Rfam by way of RNAcentral. Lineage: Eukaryota; Fungi; Basidiomycota; Malasseziomycetes; Malasseziales; Malasseziaceae.